This 490-nucleotide ribosomal RNA is filed under the name uncultured bacterium. RNAcentral describes it as "bacterial SSU rRNA". It matches the Rfam family "Bacterial small subunit ribosomal RNA", at positions 903 to 1397 of the family's 1533-position model. The record is from RNAcentral.
AAAUGAAUAGACGGGGGCCCGCACAAGCAGUGGAGUAUGUGGUUUAAUUCGACGCAACGCGAAGAACCUUACCAAAACUUGACAUUAAGAGGAAUAACAUGGAAGCAUGUUAGUCUUCGGACCUCUUAACAGGUGAUGCAUGGUUGUCGUCAGCUCGUGUCGUGAGAUGUUGGGUUAAGUCCCGCAACGAGCGCAACCCUCGUGACUAGUUGCUAACAGUAAGAUGAGAACUCUAGUCAGACUGCCGUAGAUAAUACGGAGGAAGGUGAGGAUGACGUCAAAUCAUCACGUCCCUUAUGUUUUGGGCUACACACGUACUACAAUGGGUAUAACAGAAAGAAGCGAGACCGCGAGGUGGAGCGAAACUAAAAAAAGUACCCCAAGUUCGGAUUGGAGGCUGCAACUCGCCUCCAUGAAGCUGGAAUUGCUAGUAAUCACAGGUCAGCAUACUGUGGUGAAUACGUUCCCGGGCCUUGUACACACCGCCCGU